RNAcentral lists this ribosomal RNA (163 nucleotides) under uncultured bacterium. RNAcentral describes it as "partial 16S rRNA". It matches the Rfam family "Bacterial small subunit ribosomal RNA", at positions 355 to 511 of the family's 1533-position model. The record is from RNAcentral.
UAGGGAAUCUUCCACAAUGGGCGAAAGCCUGAUGGAGCAACGCCGCGUGUGUGAUGAAGGCUUUCGGUCGUAAAGCACUGUUGUAUGGGAAGAACAGCUGGAAUAGGAAAUGAUUUUAGUUUGACGGUACCAUACCAGAAAGGGACGGCUAAAUACGUGCUAG